Molecule: unclassified non-coding RNA, 212 nt
Filed under: plant metagenome
Description: partial contains small subunit ribosomal RNA, internal transcribed spacer 1, and 5.8S ribosomal RNA
Source: RNAcentral
UUUCCGUAGGUGAACCUGCGGAAGGAUCAUUCAUAAUAAGUGUUUUAUGGCACUUUUUUAAAUCCAUAUCCACCUUGUGUGCAAUGUCAGGGUUGAUUUUCUCUCGAGAGGAUCAGCCCCAAACAUCAACUAUAUCUCAACUCUUUGUCUGAAAAAUAUUAUGAAUAAAACAAUUCAAAAUACAACUUUCAACAACGGAUCUCUUGGCUCAC